CAUGCAGUCGAGGGGUAUAGGUUUUCGGACCUAGAGACCGGCGCACGGGUGCGUAACGCGUAUGCAAUCUACCUUUCACAAAGGGAUAGCCCAGAGAAAUUUGGAUUAAUACCUUAUAGUAAUACGACUUGGCAUCAAGAUGUAUUUAAAGAUUUAUCGGUGAAAGAUGAGCAUGCGUCCCAUUAGCUUGUUGGUAAGGUAACGGCUUACCAAGGCAACGAUGGGUAGGGGUCCUGAGAGGGAGAUCCCCCACACUGGUACUGAGACACGGACCAGACUCCUACGGGAGGCAGCAGUGAGGAAUAUUGGACAAUGGGCGCAAGCCUGAUCCAGCCAUGCCGCGUGCAGGAUGACGGUCCUAUGGAUUGUAAACUGCUUUUGUACAGGAAGAAACCCUUUCACGUGUGGAAGAUUGACGGUACUGUAAGAAUAAGGAUCGGCUAACUCCGUGCCAGCAGCCGCGGUAAUACGGAGGAUCCAAGCGUUAUCCGGAAUCAUUGGGUUUAAAGGGUCCGUAGGCGGUCAAGUAAGUCAGUGGUGAAAGCCCAUCGCUCAACGGUGGAACGGCCAUUGAUACUGCUUGACUUGAAUUAUUAGGAAGUAACUAGAAUAUGUAGUGUAGCGGUGAAAUGCUUAGAGAUUACAUGGAAUACCAAUUGCGAAGGCAGGUUACUACUAAUGGAUUGACGCUGAUGGACGAAAGCGUGGGUAGCGAACAGGAUUAGAUACCCUGGUAGUCCACGCCGUAAACGAUGGAUACUAGCUGUUGGGAGCAAUCUCAGUGGCUAAGCGAAAGUGAUAAGUAUCCCACCUGGGGAGUACGUUCGCAAGAAUGAAACUCAAAGGAAUUGACGGGGGCCCGCACAAGCGGUGGAGCAUGUGGUUUAAUUCGAUGAUACGCGAGGAACCUUACCAAGGCUUAAAUGUAGAUUGACCGGUUUGGAAACAGACUUUUCGCAAGACAAUUUACAAGGUGCUGCAUGGUUGUCGUCAGCUCGUGCCGUGAGGUGUCAGGUUAAGUCCUAUAACGAGCGCAACCCCUGUCGUUAGUUGCCAGCGAGUCAUGUCGGGAACUCUAACGAGACUGCCAGUGCAAACUGAGAGGAAGGUGGGGAUGACGUCAAAUCAUCACGGCCCUUACGCCUUGGGCUACACACGUGCUACAAUGGCCGGUACAGAAAGCAGCCACUGGGUGACCAGGA
This 1202-nucleotide ribosomal RNA is filed under the name Flavobacterium sp. UA-JF0927. RNAcentral's name for it is "bacterial SSU rRNA". It matches the Rfam family "Bacterial small subunit ribosomal RNA", at positions 54 to 1266 of the family's 1533-position model. The record is from RNAcentral. Lineage: Bacteria; Pseudomonadati; Bacteroidota; Flavobacteriia; Flavobacteriales; Flavobacteriaceae.